Molecule: unclassified non-coding RNA, 1170 nt
Filed under: Polistes canadensis
Lineage: Eukaryota; Metazoa; Arthropoda; Insecta; Hymenoptera; Vespidae
Description: uncharacterized LOC106792533, transcript variant X1
Source: RNAcentral
AAGCGCGAGACUUCGUCGGGUUCGGAUCGGGGGUUCAUCGGAUGUAGAAAACGUCGGGUUCGUUUGAAUGAGAUGGAAAAUUAAUUUCUCCCUAACUACAAAACUUUUCGAAAAUUAUCGUGAAUUGUUUACGCGUGCGCAAUGAAAUUUAUUAUAACGCAUGUGUUACCUUAUACGAGUGUUCCUUUUCUUAUCUCGUUUUAUUUCCUUUCACCCUCUCGUAAGGUAAAAGACUUUCGUUCGGUGUCGGUGUGCACAACUUAUCUAUUUUAUAUCGCUGUAAAGUGAAGCUGCAACGUAAAACCGUAAACCGCAGUCAAACUGCAUUGCUGUUACCCUAAUUUUUCUCUACCUUUUUUUACAUCUUCCCUCAUUUGUGUGCGCGAAUGAUUCCGUAUGCGUCAGUGUACGUACGUGCAAAAAUAAAGAAACCAAAAAAAAAAAAAAACAAAGUAGUUGAGUUAGUGCAAAGAGAUAACUCGUUGAAAUAUAAAUUGCAUCGAAUUUCUAUAUGAUCGGAAUUUGACAUUUUUUUCCCCUCGUAAAAGGAACAACGUUUUGAAUCUUUUUUCUUUUCUUUUUUUUUAGUUUCAACGUGAUUUUACGAUCUAUAGUUGUGGUUUCGUUUAACGAUCGAAUGGAAGAUGAUGAUCGUCGUCGUCGAUGAAAGAGGGAAAAAGAUAUCUAUCAAUCUCUUUCACCUCUCUCGUUUUAAGAUUUAUUGGAUAUACUUAAUUAAUUAUCGUCUGGUGCAACGUUGUAUGAAAUAAGUGUUAAACGUUCGUCGAAUCAUUAGAUCGGGCUGUUAAUUAUUAUUUAUUAUUAUUGAUUUAAUAACGUGAAAUAAUUAUAUUAUUGAGAAACAGAAUAAAAUAAAUCAUUGUGGCAUACGCGAAUAUUUUAUUUCGUACUUCCCCCGACAGGACGGGGGGGUACACGAAAAAUAACAUUUCCAAAGAAGUUUUUAACACUGAACGGAUGUCUCACACGAUGAAUGAACCGGAUCCUUGUCUGCCACUCAUCCUGCCACCCAGAUAUCGUCUUCGCGAUCUCAUACUGGGUGAUUAUGCUUUCAACGACGACGGUGAACGAAAUGUCGAUGUACUUCUUUCGGCUGCACAACCUGCGCCGUCAGGCGGAGGAGGUACGAAAGAAGCGAUUAAAACGCGG